This 426-nucleotide long non-coding RNA is filed under the name Nicotiana benthamiana. RNAcentral's name for it is "long non-coding RNA (NBEN_LNC015937)". The record is from RNAcentral. Lineage: Eukaryota; Viridiplantae; Streptophyta; Magnoliopsida; Solanales; Solanaceae.
GCCCCCAUAACCACUACCCGAAAAGGGAAUGGGAACAAGUGGUACCCCAGGGACAUCAGACGAGUACAGAAAAAGGGGACUAGAGGAAUCUACAGCAGUAGAAGCAGUAGUGCUUGUGCUAGAAGCCAUAAUGAACCGGCUUAAAAAGGAUAACUUUUCAACAAACAGGAUACUACCAAAACAGGUAUACAAACACAGUAACCAACAAGCAAACUACAGUUAGGUCAAGUAGUCACAGAUACCACCAGAUGCUCACAAUUACAGAGUCAAGUAAUCACAUAUAAAAUCGAGGAUAGGAACAGAGUUACCCUCCUUCUUCGCGACCGGAGAAGAUCGGCCUUCAAACAACAGAGAAACCCUAUGUAUCAAACCCUAGGUAUAGCUUUUGAAAAAACAAACUUUACCGGAGAUCUGGUCAGGAACGUC